UGGGGAUGGUCGUCCUCUUCGACCGAGCGCGCAGCUUUGGGAGGGACGCACAUGGAGGGGUGAGGGAGGAAGGGGACGCCUGCCUAGCCAGCCAGAUCAGCCGAAUCAACCCUGGCGAUCAAUGGGGUGACAGAUAGAUCGGAAGAACACA
Perognathus longimembris pacificus (Pacific pocket mouse) is the source of this 151-nucleotide long non-coding RNA. RefSeq lists it as uncharacterized. The record is from RefSeq and is a predicted model, not a curated record. NCBI's taxonomy places the organism in Eukaryota, Metazoa, Chordata, Mammalia, Rodentia, Heteromyidae. The transcript has 3 exons.